GGGUUGUUUUAUGUCUUGGGCUCAAGUCUGUGUGAGAGCUCAAAGAGAGUCUGCUGAUUGUCGAUGAGGUGCAGGUAAUUGAUGUACGUUCUCACUUCCAUGCUGUCCUUCUGGAAUAACAAGUUUCCUGAUGACAAAAAAAAAUAAUAAUAAUAAGGUUGCCACAGAGGAAUGAACCCCCAACUAUUCCAGCAGAUGUUUUAUGCAGCAGAUGCCUUUCCAGUCCCAACACAUUACUGGGAAACACCCAUAUACUCAUUUCCACACACAAAGCAGAGGUAGGAAAGGGAUCUUGGGAGACUUCAUCUUCCUGAAGGCAUCUCUGUAGGCUUUGUGGUUUAACGAAGGGUCCUACGGGUCAUCAGAAAAGCAUUCAUGUGUAUACAUAUUUAAGUGUUUGUAUUACUUUUCACCGAAAGCAUCUGGUGCAUCUCAGACUCUUCCCUCUGUACCGCCACCUGCUAUUUCCUCCCUGGAGGCCAAAGGCUUUGAUAUGAUUACGCUUUCAUAUAUUACAUCCUAAUGAGCCGUAAACAGCACAAAAUACUACAGCAGGAGGUGAACUAGCAGGAGGCAACUUAGGAGUGUGAUGAGACAAUCACUUACCGUCAGGCUCUCCAGCUCGGAGAACAACUUCCUGAACUUCCCAGGGACUUUCUGAAAUGAGGACAGUUUGAAAAUAUCAGAAGAAUUGAAGUUAACGUGUCUGUUAAGCAGAGCUUGCAGUACCUUAAAUGCAUUAAGUUUAAGAGCAAUUCAUGAUAAAUACCACUGCGCAUAUAAAGCAAUGUAUUUCUGUGCAC
Molecule: long non-coding RNA, 803 nt
Filed under: Danio rerio (zebrafish)
Lineage: Eukaryota; Metazoa; Chordata; Actinopteri; Cypriniformes; Danionidae
Description: si:dkey-233k19.2 (ENSDARG00000095353.2)
Source: RNAcentral